AAAGCGAAUAGUGAAAGGUCCCGGCUCAACCGGGGAUACAUUGUUCGAACUCUCAAGCUAGAGCACAGCAGAGGUACCUGGAAUUCCCAGUGUAGGAGUGAAAUCCGUAGAUAUUGGGAGGAACACCGAUGGCGUAGGCAGGGUACUGGGCUGUUGCUGACACUAAGGCACGAAAGCGUGGGGAGCGAACGGAUUAGAUACCCGGUAGUCCACGCCGUAAACUAUGGAUGCUA
This 233-nucleotide ribosomal RNA is filed under the name uncultured Candidatus Saccharibacteria bacterium. RNAcentral describes it as "partial 16S ribosomal RNA". It matches the Rfam family "Bacterial small subunit ribosomal RNA", at positions 584 to 818 of the family's 1533-position model. The record is from RNAcentral. Lineage: Bacteria; Candidatus Saccharimonadota.